This 674-nucleotide ribosomal RNA is filed under the name uncultured archaeon. Its description in RNAcentral is "bacterial SSU rRNA". It matches the Rfam family "Archaeal small subunit ribosomal RNA", at positions 5 to 679 of the family's 1478-position model. The record is from RNAcentral.
CGGUUGAUCCUGCCGGAGGUUACUGCUAUCGGUAUUCGACUAAGCCAUGCGAGUUAAAUGUUCUUCGUGAACAUAGCGAACUGCUCAGUAACACGUGGAUAACCUGCCCUUAGGUUCGGCAUAACUCCGGGAAACUGGAGAUAAUUCCGAAUAAACCAUUCAUGCUGGAAUGCUUUUUGGUUCAAAGACUUCGGUUGCCUAAGGAUGGAUCUGCGGUCUAUCAGGUAGUAGUGGGUGUAAGGUACCUACUAGCCUACGACGGAUAUGGGUUGUGAGAGCAAGAGCCCAGAGAUGGAUUCUGAGACAUGAAUCCAGGCCCUACGGGGCGCAGCAGGCGCGAAAACUUUACAAUGCGGGAAACCGCGAUAAGGGGAUACCGAGUGCCAGCAUAUUAUGUUGGCUGUCCACAUGUGUAAACGGCAUGUGUUAGCAAGGGCCGGGCAAGACCGGUGCCAGCCGCCGCGGUAACACCGGCGGCCCGAGUGGUAAUCACUUUUAUUGGGUCUAAAGGGUCCGUAGCCGGUUUGAUCAGUUCUUCGGGAAAUCUGACAGCUCAACUGUUAGGCUUCCGGGGAAUACUGUCAGACUUGGGACCGGGAGAGGUAAGAGGUACUACAGGGGUAGGAGUGAAAUCUUGUAAUCCCUGUGGGACCACCAGUGGCGAAGGCGUCUUA